RNAcentral lists this microRNA precursor (121 nucleotides) under Gossypium hirsutum (cotton). RNAcentral's name for it is "MIR7504 microRNA precursor family". It matches the Rfam family "MIR7504 microRNA precursor family". Lineage: Eukaryota; Viridiplantae; Streptophyta; Magnoliopsida; Malvales; Malvaceae. The record is from Rfam by way of RNAcentral.
AAUAGGAAAACGACAAAUCAGAUUUUUCUCUUGAUUUUUAGCUUUUUCCUCUUAAAAAAUUCAAAUCAAACUAAUAACACUAAAAGCCAGGAGGAAAAAUAUGAUUUGUCAUUCUCCCAUU